UCGCAGAUACCAGGUGGCUGCAACUGUUUAUUAAAAACACAGCACUGUGCAAAAUCGUAAGAUGACGUAUACGGUGUGACGCCUGCCCGGUGCCGGAAGGUUAAUUGAUGGGGUUAGACUUCGGUCGAAGCUCUUGAUCGAAGCCCCGGUAAACGGCGGCCGUAACUAUAACGGUCCUAAGGUAGCGAAAUUCCUUGUCGGGUAAGUUCCGACCUGCACGAAUGGCGUAAUGAUGGCCACGCUGUCUCCACCCGAGACUCAGUGAAAUUGAAAUCGCUGUGAAGAUGCAGUGUACCCGCGGCUAGACGGAAAGACCCCGUGAACCUUUACUACAGCUUGGCACUGAACAUUGACCCUACAUGUGUAGGAUAGGUGGGAGGCUUUGAAGCACGUACGCCAGUAUGUGUGGAGCCGUCCUUGAAAUACCACCCUUGUAGUGUUGAUGUUCUAACGUCGACCCCUUAUCGGGGUUGCGGACAGUGCCUGGUGGGUAGUUUGACUGGGGCGGUCUCCUCCCAAAGAGUAACGGAGGAGCACGAAGGUGGGCUAAUCACGGUUGGACAUCGUGAGGUUAGUGCAAUGGCAUAAGCCCGCUUGACUGCGAGAAUGACAAUUCGAGCAGGUGCGAAAGCAGGUCAUAGUGAUCCGGUGGUUCUGAAUGGAAGGGCCAUCGCUCAACGGAUAAAAGGUACUCCGGGGAUAACAGGCUGAUACCGCCCAAGAGUUCAUAUCGACGGCGGUGUUUGGCACCUCGAUGUCGGCUCAUCACAUCCUGGGGCUGAAGUCGGUCCCAAGGGUAUGGCUGUUCGCCAUUUAAAGUGGUACGCGAGCUGGGUUUAGAACGUCGUGAGACAGUUCGGUCCCUAUCUGCCGUGGGCGUUGGAAGAUUGAAGGGGGCUGCUCCUAGUACGAGAGGACCGGAGUGGACGAACCUCUGGUGUUCGGGUUGUGUCGCCAGACGCAUUGCCCGGUAGCUAAGUUCGGAAUCGAUAACCGCUGAAAGCAUCUAAGCGGGAAGCGAGCCCUGAGAUGAGUCUUCCCUGAUACUUUAAGUAUCCUAAAGGGUUGUCGGAGACUACGACGUUGAUAGGUCAGGUGUGUAAGUGCUGUGAGGCAUUGAGCUAACUGAUACUAAUUGCCCGUGAGGCUUAACCAUACAACAC
Molecule: ribosomal RNA, 1163 nt
Filed under: Vibrio parahaemolyticus
Lineage: Bacteria; Pseudomonadati; Pseudomonadota; Gammaproteobacteria; Vibrionales; Vibrionaceae
Description: partial 23S ribosomal RNA
Rfam family: Bacterial large subunit ribosomal RNA
Source: RNAcentral